GCGCAGCAGGCGCGAAUUUUUCUCAAUGGGGGAAACCCUGAAGGAGCGACGCCGCGUGAAGGAUGAAGGUCUUCGGAUUGUAAACUUCUGUCAUUAGGGAACAAAUCUUCCAAGUAACUACUGGAAGUCUGAUAGUACCUGAAGAGGAAGAGACGGCUAACUCUGUGCCAGCAGCCGCGGUAAUACAGAGGUCUCAACCGUUGUUCGGAUUCAUUGGGCGUAAAGGGUGCGUAGGCGGCGGAGUAAGUCAGGUGUGAAAUCUCGGGGCUCAACCCCGAAACUGCACUUGAUACUGCUUCGCUUGAGUACUGGAGAGGAGACUGGAAUUUACGGUGUAGCAGUGAAAUGCGUAGAUAUCGUAAGGAAGACCAGUGGCGAAGGCGAGUCUCUGGACAGUUACUGACGCUGAGGCACGAAGGCCAGGGGAGCAAACGGGAUUAGAUACCCCCGUA
This 452-nucleotide ribosomal RNA is filed under the name uncultured organism. Its description in RNAcentral is "bacterial SSU rRNA". It matches the Rfam family "Bacterial small subunit ribosomal RNA", at positions 346 to 792 of the family's 1533-position model. The record is from RNAcentral.